UACGAAGGGGGCUAGCGUUGCUCGGAAUCACUGGGCGUAAAGCGCACGUAGGCGGGUUGUUAAGUCGGGGGUGAAAUCCUGGAGCUCAACUCCAGAACUGCCUUCGAUACUGGCGACCUUGAGUCCGGGAGAGGUGAGUGGAACUCCGAGUGUAGAGGUGAAAUUCGUAGAUAUUCGGAAGAACACCAGUGGCGAAGGCGGCUCACUGGCCCGGUACUGACGCUGAGGUGCGAAAGCCAGGGGAGCAAACGGG
Molecule: ribosomal RNA, 253 nt
Filed under: uncultured bacterium
Lineage: Bacteria
Description: partial 16S ribosomal RNA
Rfam family: Bacterial small subunit ribosomal RNA
Source: RNAcentral